AAUUUACCACCAAAUUUUUAUUCUUUUCAUAAUAACUCAAAAUUCUUUCAAUAGCAGGUGGAAGGAAGAUACACUGCACUGGAUCAUCCAAAUGAACUCCAGGAAUGUGGGGAUCCUAAAAGUGAUGCUCAAGUUUUUGUACCAUGAUCAAGAAAUGAAGGGCAAGGAGACUCCUCAUUGUUUAACUGGACACCUUGGAAGCCACCACACUAAUUCUGCUGUGAAGGAAGAAAAAGCCAAGAUACUGGGGUUGUUCGUCUUCUGAGACUCAUCCUCUGUUGCCCAGCUUGGACUCUUCACAUGGAGGCUGACAGGGCUCAGCACCCGGCAGCCAUCAGGAUUUGCC
This 346-nucleotide long non-coding RNA is filed under the name Fukomys damarensis (Damara mole-rat). RNAcentral describes it as "lncRNA (ENSFDAG00000021940.1)". The record is from RNAcentral. Lineage: Eukaryota; Metazoa; Chordata; Mammalia; Rodentia; Bathyergidae.